Molecule: ribosomal RNA, 524 nt
Filed under: uncultured bacterium
Lineage: Bacteria
Description: partial 16S ribosomal RNA
Rfam family: Bacterial small subunit ribosomal RNA
Source: RNAcentral
GACGAACGCUGGCGGCGUGCCUAAUACAUGCAAGUCGAACGAAGCUGUUUUAACUGGUGCUUGCACCGACUUAAACAACUGAGUGGCGAACGGGUGAGUAACACGUGGGUAACCUGCCCCAAAGCGGGGGAUAACAUUUGGAAACAGAUGCUAAUACCGCAUAACCACAGAAACCACAUGGUUUCUGUGUCAAAGAUGGUUUCGGCUAUCACUUUGGGAUGGACCCGCGGCGUAUUAGCUAGUUGGUAAGGUAGUGGCUUACCAAGGCAGUGAUACGUAGCCGAACUGAGAGGUUGAUCGGCCACAUUGGGACUGAGACACGGCCCAAACUCCUACGGGAGGCAGCAGUAGGGAAUCUUCCACAAUGGACGAAAGUCUGAUGGAGCAACGCCGCGUGAGUGAAGAAGGUUUUCGGAUCGUAAAACUCUGUUGUCAGAGAAGAACGUGUGCGAGAGUAACUGCUCGUGCAGUGACGGUAUCUGGCCAGAAAGCCACGGCUAACUACGUGCCAGCAGCCGCCGUAA